Long non-coding RNA from Dreissena polymorpha, 1058 nucleotides. RefSeq lists it as uncharacterized. The record is from RefSeq and is a predicted model, not a curated record. Lineage: Eukaryota; Metazoa; Mollusca; Bivalvia; Myida; Dreissenidae. The transcript has 3 exons.
CGGUCAAAGAUGACGUUAGACAGUUUUGCUUAAUUAAAGAGAUAAUUGUGAUGUGCGAUUGUUGUUGACUUGCUUUGGUAAGCAUAACUGCUGUUGGUAUGCAGACGAGCAACACUGUCCAUUCGACUUGAUUUAUAGAGCUAGGUCGUUUAAACAUUGUUGGCGCUCAAACUUGGGCAAGGCUCCUCAGUUUACAGCGAGGGACACACGUUUUUGCCCGCAAGCGUAAACACACUAACGUGGGUCGAUGGUGCGAAAGCGAGUCCGAGUCAGCGUAAACAGUGUUAACACGCCUUAGCUCUGAAAAUCAAGUUUAAUCGAUAGCGGGUUCGUUCUGUUUUCCAACAGCAGUACUGUUUACCAAAGGCAGAAAGUAAGGUCUUGCAUCAUCUUAUUUCUUUUAAGUGCUGCAGUAUAACGUAAACUCUGACAUUUUGUUGCAUAUGGACAUAUUCUAAUUUACUUUUAUAUGCUAAUACGUGUUUACGUUAUUUAUCUGCAACUAAUUUGGAAAAAAAUAUAGCACAUAGUCAUUUGGAACACUUUACAAUCUAAUCAAUAUAUUUGAACACAACAUAUUGGCGAUGUAUUCUUUGUCUGUAUCCAAUAUAUGUCGUGGUGGUAUCUCUAACAUAUGUUUAUUCAACAGCUGUCCGUGCAUUGGGAUAAGGGCAGGAACUCUACAUGGGCUCCGAGAAACCAUGACCAAACGCUGAAGGUCACCUAUACCAGACUGAACUGUCCGUGCAUAUCGAUAAGGGCAGGAACUCCACAUGGGUUCCGAUACACCCUGGUCAACCGCUGAAUGUCACCUAUACCAGACUGAAGUAUGGACCGUCAUCUCUGCCAUUGCUGUGAAUACAAAGAUAUGAGAUAGCAUUUUUAAAGGUCAAAGAUGACGUUAGACAGGUCAGUUUCCAGUUCGUGUCAGAUGGGACACUAACACGAUCCGGUUCCACUGCUGAAGAAGUAUGGCACAAAUUUUACGGAUGCCAUGAAGAUUCCUCAACUUGGACGUUCCGUAGAGGCUGAACAUCGUUGCAUAUUAAAUAAUUUGG